This 77-nucleotide transfer RNA is filed under the name bacterium. Its description in RNAcentral is "tRNA-Pro". It matches the Rfam family "tRNA". From Rfam's summary of the family: Transfer RNA (tRNA) molecules are approximately 80 nucleotides in length. RNAcentral also lists the same sequence under 2 other names. The record is from RNAcentral.
CGGGGCGUAGCGCAGCCUGGCAGCGCGCAUCGUUCGGGACGAUGAGGUCGGAGGUUCAAAUCCUCUCGCCCCGACCA